CAGUAGCCGCGGGAAUACGUAGGUGGCAAGCGUUGUCCGGAAUUAUUGGGCGUAAAGCGCGCGCAGGCGGAUCAGUUAGUCUGUCUUAAAAGUUCGGGGCUUAACCCCGUGAGGGGAUGGAGACUGCUGAUCUAGAGUAUCGGAGAGGAAAGUGGAAUUCCUAGUGUAGCGGUGAAAUGCGUAGAUAUUAGGAAGAACACCAGUGGCGAAGGCGACUUUCUGGACGAAAACUGACGCUGAGGCGCGAAAGCCGGGGGAGCGAACGGGAUUAGAUACCCCAGUAGUCCCUGUCUCUUAUACC
This 301-nucleotide ribosomal RNA is filed under the name uncultured bacterium. RNAcentral's name for it is "partial 16S ribosomal RNA". It matches the Rfam family "Bacterial small subunit ribosomal RNA", at positions 509 to 808 of the family's 1533-position model. The record is from RNAcentral.